CUUGAUGGGCAUAUGCAUCUGUUCAUAUUUAAGACGUUUAAUGGGUUGGUUAAAGUAUCUUUGACUAUUGGUUAUUGUAAACCUUAAGUAGAUUAAUUGGAUGUACAAUGCGACGUUUGUUUUACCAAAAUAACACCAUAUAUAAAUUUUAUUUGCAAUUUCCUUUUAAAAAGUAAUUGAUGUUUAUAUUUACAAAAUUGAACCGAUUGUGCAUAUGAACAUGAGGUUCGUCCGUCCUAACGUCAGUAGGAUAUUGCUUGGUAUGCUAGAUUCUUACGAUAAUAACCUAGGUCGACAGUUUUAUCCAAUGAUAUUUUGAAAGGAAAAAAAACAACAUAAACACUUCACGUUUCAUUUACGUACCAAAUACUUACCUGUUACCUGUAUGACGCGUUAGCAAAUAUUUCUCUGCGUCGAUAUGUAGGUCGAUUAGUGUUACCUGUGCAACAGUGUUGUGAAAAAAAACCCAUUGUGAUUUAUGUACUUUUAUUUUUACUCCAUUUAUUUACCAUUAAGAUAUAAGAAGCCAGUGGUUUUAAGAAAUAUCGUUGUUUGCAUCGAGGAGAUUUAAGAUGAUUCAGACAAUGUUAUGGAACAGUUACCUUUUCAACCCCAUCCCCUGAACUCUACCCCUUGCCUUUGUAGUGGUGAAUAUCAUGGAAUCUACUAUUAAAGGGAAGGCUGGAUGGUCAUGAUCACUUUCUGACAUCAUUAUUCUCCCAAAACGAAGAGCGUCGGAAAAAUAAAAGGGAAAAAAACUUUAAACAAUAUCGCUAUACUUAUAGUAAAACUAUUUGAUUGUUUUCUUUAUAUACACCCGUGAAAUUAUUUAUUAGGAGUAUACAAAAUUAUGGCUUAGUAUUAUGUAAAAGUUAAUUGUAAUCUAUUAUUUGAAGAAAAUAAUACAAAUCAUACGCAUCAAUUACUCAAGGCAGAAAAAAAAUAUUAGAUCAUGACAUUCAUACUGCUAAAUCUUAUUCAAAUUAAAACGAUACCCUUUCUUUAUAAAAAUUGUUAAGUGUUGAAAAUUUUCGUCUAAGAUAAUUUUCAAGUGCUGCUAUUCUUACAUUAUAUUAUAUCAGAAAUAACUUGAAGUACCAAGUUAGAAUCUUUUGCAGUGUCUGUUAGAAAAAAAGGUUUCAUGAAUCAAUAGCAGUAUAAACAUUUGUAAUAUCUUAAAAAGUAACUUAUUAGCAAAGAAAAUUCUAACAAUGACUAUUUCAUUUUACACUCCACUGAAAGAAGAAUCAAACGGUAGGUGUAAAUCUAUGUGGCAAAAAUUGUCAGGCAGGAUUUUUUUCAAAUUUUGAAUAUAUAUUUUUUCAAAUCUUACAAAUUUAUUCCAUACAAAAAAAAAAAAAAUUUCCACUUAUCUGGGUUUUUUUUCUACCUUGAUUAGUAUUUUAUGACCGGUAUGAAAAAGGAAUCUUCUAUUCACAACAACUGAAGCCUUUGAUAAUUAACUGACAUGUUCCUCAAACCCCACAUAAUAAAAUAUUUUAGUAAGUUAACAUUUUGUAAGAAAAACAUCAAUACCUGUCUCAUUUUUGCCAGUCACUUUACCAUGCACUUAUUUUAUUCCAUGAAAGAUAAAGUACACAUUAAACGGGUGUGGUAGUCGCGCACCUUCUAUUUACCCACCGAGAAACACUCAAUAUUAAUCUUAGAUAUUUCAUUUUACACUAAGUAGUUAAUCAAUGGUCUAUAUGACGUAAGUGUGACCCUAAAUAGAAAGUUGAAAGAUCAAUUCUUUAUGUAAAUAUGACUCGAAACGUUUUUUAAUUAUAACAAUAAAUUAGAAAUAUCUAAGCUUAUAUAGCUAUCACAAAUUGAAUUGGAAAAUGUUCAGGUCAACUCCUGAUAUCUAACAAAGAUGGUUAUAAAAAUUUAAUUCAUUAAAACGAGAAAAGCAGGAAAAAUAUCAUGAACACGGAAAGAAAAUGAGAAGAAACUAGAUGAUUUAACGGUAUAUUUGUGCAACUACAUGUUUUACUUAUAAAAUUAGCAAACGACAAUUAAUCCUUUGUUUGAUUUUCUUGCAAAAUAUGACAUGUUGCACUUGAUGUUUAAAAAAUGAAUUAUCCGAACAAAUUUCAGAUUUAGGCAAUUAGGAUAAAAAUGAAAUCUUGCUAUUUUUUUCAAGUUCUCAUUCUAAAGUAACAAAAUUAAACCAACUACUUUGUUUAAAAAAAUCAUAUUCGUCCUAAUUUUAACUAUGAAUUAAAACCAUACACGUAUGUUACGUAUCAAAAAAAUUAGAAUGCACCUUGGUUUGAAAUAUGGCAAACGUGUUGAUUUAUAACCUUUUUUUAAUCGGACGUCAAAACUUUUAAUCUAUAUAUGUUAUUUGAUAAAUUAUCUAACUUAAAAUACCUUUACUUUCAAAUUUACCUGGUUGACGUAAUGACAGAUCAUGUUCAUUCAC
Magallana angulata is the source of this 2425-nucleotide long non-coding RNA. RefSeq lists it as uncharacterized. Lineage: Eukaryota; Metazoa; Mollusca; Bivalvia; Ostreida; Ostreidae. The record is from RefSeq and is a predicted model, not a curated record. The transcript is spliced from 3 exons.